RNAcentral lists this ribosomal RNA (446 nucleotides) under uncultured bacterium. RNAcentral describes it as "bacterial SSU rRNA". It matches the Rfam family "Bacterial small subunit ribosomal RNA", at positions 331 to 793 of the family's 1533-position model. The record is from RNAcentral.
CCAGACUCCUACGGGAGGCAGCAGUGGGGAAUAUUGCACAAUGGGGGAAACCCUGAUGCAGCAACGCCGCGUGAGUGAGGAAGUAUUUCGGUAUGUAAAGCUCUAUCAGCAGGGAAUAGAAAAGAAGGUACCUGAAAAAGAAGCCCCGGCUAACUACGUGCCAGCAGCCGCGGUAAUACGUAGGGGGCAAGCGUUAUCCGGAUUUACUGGGUGUAAAGGGAGCGUAGACGGCUGAGCAAGCCUGAAGUGAAAGGCGGGGGCCCAACCCCCGGACUGCUUUGGGAACUGUACGGCCGGAGUGCAGGAGAGGUAAGUGGAAUUCCUAGUGUAGCGGUGAAAUGCGUAGAUAUUAGGAGGAACACCAGUGGCGAAGGCGGCUUACUGGACUGUAACUGACGUUGAGGCUCGAAAGCGUGGGGAGCAAACAGGAUUAGAUACCCCGGUAG